Molecule: ribosomal RNA, 253 nt
Filed under: uncultured bacterium
Lineage: Bacteria
Description: partial 16S ribosomal RNA
Rfam family: Bacterial small subunit ribosomal RNA
Source: RNAcentral
UACGUAGGGUGCGAGCGUUAAUCGGAAUUACUGGGCGUAAAGCGUGCGCAGGCGGUUUUGUAAGACAGAUGUGAAAUCCCCGGGCUCAACCUGGGAAUGGCGUUUGUGACUGCAAGGCUGGAGUGCGGCAGAGGGGGAUGGAAUUCCGCGUGUAGCAGUGAAAUGCGUAGAGAUGUGGAGGAACACCGAUGGCGAAGGCAGCCCCCUGGGCCAAUACUGACGCUCAUGCACGAAAGCGUGGGGAGCAAACAGG